RNAcentral lists this unclassified non-coding RNA (538 nucleotides) under Athalia rosae (coleseed sawfly). RNAcentral describes it as "misc RNA ENSAEAG00005011418.1". Lineage: Eukaryota; Metazoa; Arthropoda; Insecta; Hymenoptera; Athaliidae. The record is from RNAcentral.
UUCAUUCGCAAAUCAAAACUAGCAUUGGUAGGAAGGUAAAGCGAGUUGCAAAAUCUAAAGAUAGAUGACUCUAUGACCGUGAAUACUGAAUCCCGAUUAACAGCUGAGGGCAAAAUUUCUGGGGCCUUGGACUAAACUUUGGAGCGGUUAGAACACAAGUACAUUUGUGUUAAAUAGUAUCGUAUUUGAAAAAGUACUAAAAUGUGGUGGGAAAUUUUACCAUCGUUCGGAAUACUCGUGGGGCUUAUGGCAAUUCCUCAAUAUGGGACUUUCUAUUUGCACAAGGCUGUUCUCGACAAUGGUUAUAGAAGAGAUAUGUCAUCUCGAUGGGACCGCAACCUGUACACCAGAGAUCGACGGCUCUGUGGAGACCCUUACAAAACUCCUGGACUCGAAGCCAUUCCCGACAACUAGAUGGGUGGCUCUUAGCACAUUGUGUGUAAUGUAGACAAAAAGGAACUAUUCAAUUGUACUAUAAUAUAUAUGUCAAUAAAUUACAAAGAUGAACUGCAAAUUUCAUCUAUCACAGGUUACCGAA